UACGGGGGGGGCAAGCGUUGUUCGGAAUUACUGGGCGUAAAGGGUUCGUAGGUGGCUUCUUAAGUCAGACGUGAAAUCUCACAGCUUAACUGUGAAACUGCAUUGGAUACUAUCCGGCUCGAGGAAUGGAGGGGAGACUGGAAUACUUGGUGUAGCAGUGAAAUGCGUAGAUAUCAAGUGGAACACCAGUGGCGAAGGCGAGUCUCUGGACAUUUCCUGACGCUGAGGCACGAAAGCCAGGGGAGCAAACGGG
Molecule: ribosomal RNA, 253 nt
Filed under: uncultured bacterium
Lineage: Bacteria
Description: partial 16S ribosomal RNA
Rfam family: Bacterial small subunit ribosomal RNA
Source: RNAcentral